RNAcentral lists this long non-coding RNA (1068 nucleotides) under Aquilegia coerulea. RNAcentral's name for it is "long non-coding RNA (ACOE_LNC001486)". Lineage: Eukaryota; Viridiplantae; Streptophyta; Magnoliopsida; Ranunculales; Ranunculaceae. The record is from RNAcentral.
AAAUGUUUUCUUCCUCAGAUUUUCUUCUCAAAGCUCUAUCAGGUUAGUCUCUCUCUUUCUCUCCCUUUAUUUUUGUUUAAUUAGCUUGUUGUAGUUUCAGGAUAAUUGGGUUUUUUUAUUCAAUUUUAAACUAAUUAACCUAGUAGGGUUUGAGUGAUAAAUUGUUGUGAAUUCAAUUUUUUAUGUCACUAAAUAUAAACCUAGUAGGGUUUAUAGAUUCUGUGUUUUGAUUUCAGUAAUGCAGUAAAACUGUGUAUUUAUUUCAGUGUGUAUUAAGCAUGAACAAACUCGACUUUCAGGAAUUGUUAUGUUAAUCUUUGAAUGUUUUUUAAAAUAUUAUGGCAUUCUUAAUGUCUGAGGUCAAGUUUGACUUGCUAGUUCUGAUAACUUUUGACAGUAACUAAGAUUAUGUAUAGGUAUACCCAAUCAUAGGAUGCAUACUUUUGGUGUUUUAUGUUUACAAUCUUACUGCUGCUUAGGGAAUUGUAUGCUGGAGGGAUCAGAGUUAACUUUUCGCGUUUUGUUUCAGAUUAAUCAAGAUAGUAACAACUGAUAUGGACCAUAAUGUUCACAUAGAUCUGAAGAAUUAGCCUUCGGUUUCUCCUACAACCCAAGAAUCACAGAAAACCCAAUAGUGGAAUGGUAGGCUACGAAAAAAAUACCCUCUUUCUACAUUGUCAUGAUAAUCUAUUGUGUCUUGACAGCAUAGUUAGUUGUUUCAACUAAACACUAACUUGUUUUAAUCUGUACAGGUGCUAUCAAGAAUGCCCUCGAGAAUUGCUGAUAUCAAACUUGUAAGUCGCCACACCGAAGUUUACGAACCCUGUGAUGAUUCUUUUGCAUUAGUCGAUGCACUCCUAGCUGAUAGAAUAAACUUAUUACAACAUAAACCAACAAUAUGCAUGGAAGUAGGUUGUGGCAGUGGUUAUGUGAUUACAUCUCUAGCGAUAAUGCUUGGUCAGGAGGUUGAUGGGCUUCACUAUAUUGCUACUGAUAUAAAUCCACAUGCAGUAAGAGUUACGUGCGAAACAUUGGAGGCUCAUGGGGUCCAUGCGGAGGUGAUACGUG